This 818-nucleotide ribosomal RNA is filed under the name Bacillus velezensis. RNAcentral describes it as "bacterial SSU rRNA". It matches the Rfam family "Bacterial small subunit ribosomal RNA", at positions 379 to 1194 of the family's 1533-position model. The record is from RNAcentral. Lineage: Bacteria; Bacillati; Bacillota; Bacilli; Caryophanales; Bacillaceae. RNAcentral also lists the same sequence under 1 other name.
AAGUCUGACGGAGCACGCCGCGUGAGUGAUGAAGGUUUUCGGAUCGUAAAGCUCUGUUGUUAGGGAAGAACAAGUGCCGUUCAAAUAGGGCGGCACCUUGACGGUACCUAACCAGAAAGCCACGGCUAACUACGUGCCAGCAGCCGCGGUAAUACGUAGGUGGCAAGCGUUGUCCGGAAUUAUUGGGCGUAAAGGGCUCGCAGGCGGUUUCUUAAGUCUGAUGUGAAAGCCCCCGGCUCAACCGGGGAGGGUCAUUGGAAACUGGGGAACUUGAGUGCAGAAGAGGAGAGUGGAAUUCCACGUGUAGCGGUGAAAUGCGUAGAGAUGUGGAGGAACACCAGUGGCGAAGGCGACUCUCUGGUCUGUAACUGACGCUGAGGAGCGAAAGCGUGGGGAGCGAACAGGAUUAGAUACCCUGGUAGUCCACGCCGUAAACGAUGAGUGCUAAGUGUUAGGGGGUUUCCGCCCCUUAGUGCUGCAGCUAACGCAUUAAGCACUCCGCCUGGGGAGUACGGUCGCAAGACUGAAACUCAAAGGAAUUGACGGGGGCCCGCACAAGCGGUGGAGCAUGUGGUUUAAUUCGAAGCAACGCGAAGAACCUUACCAGGUCUUGACAUCCUCUGACAAUCCUAGAGAUAGGACGUCCCCUUCGGGGGCAGAGUGACAGGUGGUGCAUGGUUGUCGUCAGCUCGUGUCGUGAGAUGUUGGGUUAAGUCCCGCAACGAGCGCAACCCUUUGAUCUUAGUUGCCAGCAUUCAGUUGGCACUCUAAGGUGACUGCCGGUGACAACCGGAAGAGGUGGGAUGACGUCAAUCAUC